CACUGGACAUGUUCACCAGGAUCUUCUCCACAAAGUCGUAGUUCAGGCUCCCGUAAAUGGGCUUACGUUCGCCGCUGGGAUUUCGGAGCACACUGUCGCCCAGGUGCAUCUUGUAGCUGUUAGUCACAUUGCGCCACGGCAGGACAUCAACCGAACCAUCUUCCCGAGGAACUUACAAAGUUAUCGCCAAAGAUCAUGACCACGCAGGUGAACAGAUUGUCGGACACCGCAUUGACAAGAUCCGUGUGUCGGAAGUGACAGAGCUCAGUCUUCUCCCGCUCCACGUUCGUGGCCUUGGCAAUGUAUGUCAGCCGCUCCUUAGGAUUCAGUUCGGCCGCAUAGUUCUUGAGCACGGUGUGGUAGGGAAUCCAGGCCAGGACCGAAUCACCUCCGUUGGCGCACACCUCCGCCUGGACUCCCCUUCCAGUCAGUUCUCCGUUGCGCAGCUUAAAAUAGUGAUGGUUAUCCCGCUUGAUUGUGGUGGAGCCGUGAUCUGCGCACAGGGUGUCCACGAGGCUUGCCUGGGAAACGGAGAGAUAAAAGUUAGACUAAAACAAACACCUUGUUCGUAAAUCACCACCGUCUUCGGCUUAUCUCCGCCGGCAUUAUCUUCUUCAGCUGCGAUGGACACUUUGUCACUUUAUCGUCAAGCUAAUUCAAUUUGGAAUAUCAGCCACUCGAAUAAUUUACGGCUGGCAUUGGAUUUGUCACUUAAGGAUGUCGAUGGGGCAAACUAGUUUGGCGACGCAGCAUUUGCCAUUAAAGGUAGGGAGUUUUUCAAAUUGAGGCCAUUUUUAACAAAUAUGGAAUCGUGAAAUCUGCUUUUAGUCGCCAAAUAAUUGCACUAACCGCAAUACUUUUGUCCCAAAAGCAGUUGAAUCCAUAAAAAAUUGCAUAUGUGCUACUUCUUUACAUUAAAUUGAUCGUUUCUAAAAUUCUACUUUUUGUAUUAUGGUUUACCACCCAAGAAAAUCCAGAAAACUCUAGCUCAUAAAUGGGUAUUUUCAUAUGCCCAUGAUUUUACCUUCUCGUUUUGGGUCAACGUGGUGGCCUUAAUGUGGCACUGUAGGUCCUCCUCGCUGGGGAUGACCACAUGUCGAUCGAUCUCCGACAGAAGGAUGGGAUCUGUCUUAAUGCAGAAAUGAGGGUGUUCAUCGAGGGCCGCAACCAGUGUCACCAGCACGGCCAGGCAUCCGAUGAUGGUGGCUUUCAUAGACAUUUCCGCAGAUCCGGUGCACAGAGUUCUUGGAUUGAAUUGCGCCACAGCCGUCGAUAGGCACACUUCGGUGGUCAAGUAGUAACUAAAUUUGCAAUUUUCUAACACCUGAGCAACGGCCUAUACGAACGCAUUCAACUUGACCGCGAAGCUGUCGCACAGCGAACACCUUAAUAUCACCAUAUUUAUCUACUGAUGAAGGAUUCGGCCGAGAUUCGCUUCGAUUUUCGGUGAGAGCCAGUCCGUGUCCGUAAUAGCGUCACCGAAAACCCAGUUAGUGAGCAACGACCGGGGUGAUGAGUGUAUUCGUUUUUCCAACUUGCAGUCCACACUUGGCGAUAAGAUAAUCGGCACCAUUUGACUCAAUCCGAAUAGACCGUAUGUGUAACACUGGUUAGUUAUGAUUUCUGUAAGCAUUAGGGUGGAUCAAUCAGUUUUCGUUGACUUUAUUUAAGGAAAUACUAUUGCAUAAUACCCCACCCAGUCAACUACCUGUACAUCCCGACAUACCCAUUGUUCCUUUUAUCAACAACAUAUUUAAGUCUAGAGCCUACUGUGGGAGUUAUUCAAAUCAAUACGACAUAAACAUUCAGACUUCUUAGGUGACAUAAAUCACACGAUCGACGCCUUACCGUCGACAGCAGACAUAAACAAUUUUCAAACUUUUAAACAAAGGGUCCAGCCUGUGAACCCAUUUGUCAUAUAAAAGCUUCGACCAAUCCAAAUUAAGUAAACAAAAGAUGCAGCCCGGCAACGUAUAGAUCAGGCCACAGUUUUAGGAAAUCGAAAUCUUUUGAGUAAAGUCCAUUUUCGCUGACCGCGUCGCUGUCAUCUAGUCAUCACCAUUGCCCGAGCCCAAGACACCGACCAUCAAGAGCAACAAGGAGAAGGCCCGCUCGCUGGACUCGGCAACCUCGCUCUCGCGACAGAAGAAAGUCACCAGGAAUCAACAUCACUGACUGGCUUAUGUAUUGUAUAUAAAUAAAUUCAGUAUAUGAUAGCAUUAAUUUCUAAAACGAAAUAUUUAAUAUUUUACAUUCAGGAAUAAAGUCUUCCAGUUAAUAGAUUUCUAA
This is a long non-coding RNA of Drosophila simulans, 2289 nucleotides long. RefSeq lists it as uncharacterized. The record is from RefSeq and is a predicted model, not a curated record. The transcript has 2 exons. Lineage: Eukaryota; Metazoa; Arthropoda; Insecta; Diptera; Drosophilidae.